This 70-nucleotide transfer RNA is filed under the name Rhinolophus affinis (intermediate horseshoe bat). Its description in RNAcentral is "tRNA-Phe". The record is from RNAcentral. Lineage: Eukaryota; Metazoa; Chordata; Mammalia; Chiroptera; Rhinolophidae.
GUUAAUGUAGCUUAACCAACCAAAGCAAGGCACUGAAAAUGCCUACAUGAGUACUAGUACUCCAUAAACA